AGUAUUUGAUUUUCCGUUUUUUUUUAUUAAUUGGUAUUGUUAAUCUAACUAUUCUUAACAAAAUCACUCGCAGAAAUACAAAAAACAUCAAAACCAAACGAUAACUUAACGGUACCACGUUGAAAACGAGUGAACGCGUGCGUCAUAGCUAUGCGUUGCUGUAUUACAUUCAAUUUGCUUUGGACAGUUCAGAUCGUGUGGACUUAGUGCUUGUUGCAGUUAUUGCACUGUGGAGGUAGACCACCGAAAAAUUUUAAAGCAGCACAUAAAAAAAGGCGAUUCAGACGAGGUGGAUGCAUAGCAACAUAUGUAUGUAUAAUACUGUUUGCAGCGUAAUCAAGGAAAGAAAAUAAAUAUUGUACUUCUCGAUUUAACUCAAGCAGAAAAUGUGUGUGUUUGUGGCGUUGGAGCAAGCGCGGACAAGCGAAAUGCUAAUAUAAUGCAAGUAAAAAACACUCGAAUAAAAUAUUGAUUUUCAGAUAAUAUUGAAACAAUUUUGUAAACCUUUUAAAAAAGCCCACCUUACGUUGGGGCAGAUAUUUGGCAACUGCAUGAAAUAAUUAUAUACAACGUACAUAUGUAUAUGCGCUUAUAAAUAAAUC
This is a long non-coding RNA of Ceratitis capitata (Mediterranean fruit fly), 602 nucleotides long. RefSeq lists it as uncharacterized. The transcript has 3 exons. The record is from RefSeq and is a predicted model, not a curated record. Lineage: Eukaryota; Metazoa; Arthropoda; Insecta; Diptera; Tephritidae.